Molecule: ribosomal RNA, 465 nt
Filed under: Streptomyces sp.
Lineage: Bacteria; Bacillati; Actinomycetota; Actinomycetes; Kitasatosporales; Streptomycetaceae
Description: bacterial SSU rRNA
Rfam family: Bacterial small subunit ribosomal RNA
Source: RNAcentral
UAGCCGGCCUGAGAGGGCGACCGGCCACACUGGGACUGAGACACGGCCCAGACUCCUACGGGAGGCAGCAGUGGGGAAUAUUGCACAAUGGGCGAAAGCCUGAUGCAGCGACGCCGCGUGAGGGAUGACGGCCUUCGGGUUGUAAACCUCUUUCAGCAGGGAAGAAGCGAAAGUGACGGUACCUGCAGAAGAAGCGCCGGCUAACUACGUGCCAGCAGCCGCGGUAAUACGUAGGGCGCGAGCGUUGUCCGGAAUUAUUGGGCGUAAAGAGCUCGUAGGCGGCUUGUCACGUCGGUUGUGAAAGCCCGGGGCUUAACCCCGGGUCUGCAGUCGAUACGGGCAGGCUAGAGUUCGGUAGGGGAGAUCGGAAUUCCUGGUGUAGCGGUGAAAUGCGCAGAUAUCAGGAGGAACACCGGUGGCGAAGGCGGAUCUCUGGGCCGAUACUGACGCUGAGGAGCGAAAGCG